AAAACUUUUAACAACGGAUCUCUUGGUUCUGGCAUCGAUGAAGAACGCAGCGAAAUGCGAUAAGUAAUGUGAAUUGCAGAAUUCAGUGAAUCAUCGAAUCUUUGAACGCACAUUGCGCCCGCCAGCAUUCUGGCGGGCAUGCCUGUUCGAGCGUCAUUUCAACCCUCAA
Molecule: ribosomal RNA, 169 nt
Filed under: Colletotrichum gloeosporioides
Lineage: Eukaryota; Fungi; Ascomycota; Sordariomycetes; Glomerellales; Glomerellaceae
Description: 5.8S ribosomal RNA
Rfam family: 5.8S ribosomal RNA
About the family: 5.8S ribosomal RNA (5.8S rRNA) is a component of the large subunit of the eukaryotic ribosome.
Source: RNAcentral